Molecule: long non-coding RNA, 389 nt
Organism: Gossypium arboreum
Lineage: Eukaryota; Viridiplantae; Streptophyta; Magnoliopsida; Malvales; Malvaceae
Exons: 2
Source: RefSeq, a predicted model, not a curated record
CAUUACUUUCUAUCGAUUCUUGUAACCAAUAGAGACUUUUCACAUUACCGACCUAGCUGUUACUCUGUCGCAAAUCAUUUCCAAUCUUUUACUUUUCUACUACACUAUCAGAGAGGCAACUCUUCAGCAUUUUCUUUUGAAAAAUCCUUGAACUCAUACAUAGACGCUGCAAGCCUUUCACUUUGCGAUUCUCAAACGCUCCUUCUCCAUUGCGAUCAGCACGGAACUUGGGAUGUCUCUUUCCAGAACCUGUAAACCCAUGUCGAUCCCUUGCUUGAAAACCUGCAUGUGCUUCUGCUGCAAACGGAGACGCCACAUCGGAAUGAAGCACAGACUUGGAUGCCAAAAUGUUGGCCACCACAUCUCGUACUACUAGCCCUGACACCGAA